This 490-nucleotide ribosomal RNA is filed under the name uncultured bacterium. Its description in RNAcentral is "partial 16S ribosomal RNA". It matches the Rfam family "Bacterial small subunit ribosomal RNA", at positions 30 to 507 of the family's 1533-position model. The record is from RNAcentral.
AUUGAACGCUCGCGGCACGCCUAACACAUGCAAGUCGAACGGUAACAGGAAGAAGCUUGCUUCUUUGCUGACGAGUGGCGGACGGGUGAGUAAUGUCUGGGAAACUGCCUGAUGGAGGGGGGUAACUACUGGAAACGGUAGCUAAUACCGCAUAACGUCGCAAGACCAAAGAGGGGGACCUUCGGGCCUCUUGCCAUCGGAUGUGCCCAGAUGGGAUUAGCUAGUAGGUGGGGUAACGGCUCACCUAGGCGACGAUCCCUAGCUGGUCUGAGAGGAUGACCAGCCACACUGGAACUGAGACACGGUCCAGACUACUAAGGGAGGCAGCAGUGGGGAAUAUUGCACAAUGGGCGCAAGCCUGAUGCAGCCAUGCCGAGUGUAUGAAGAAGGCCUUCGGGUUGUAAAGUACUUUCAGCGGGGAGGAAGGGAGUAAAGUUAAUACCUUUGCUCAUUGACGUUACCCGCAGAAGAAGCACCGGCUAACUCCGUG